CGGAGGGUCACCAGGGUUGUUUUCCCCGUGCCAUCUCAGCAGCACUGCGAGGAAGGAUCAGAACGAUCAUGCAUUUAAGUAUGGUGUCGCAGAAACAUGAGUCACCUUGAUGUGGUUAGUAUUAAUAGCCGCUUUGAAUGGGGAGCUAAAGGGGUUAUAAAGGCUUCAGGACAACACCGGUUGCUGGGUGAAAGAUGGCUGUGGACCUGAGAGGAAGAAAAAGUCACAUCGGGAAUGGUGUUGCUUAUCAGUUUAGCCCGUUUUGUGUUAGCAUGAUGUCACUGGGCACACAGAUCUGGAGAGCCAUUCCUCUGUUAUUGCCUGUGUUGCCUUUUAGUUUCUCUAUAGGGGAAUUAGCAGGUUUGAUUCUAUUAGUGUCCCAGCCUACUGUAGGGGAACAAGUGCGUGUGUGUGUGUGUGUGUGUGUGUGUGUGUGUGUGUGUGUGUGUGUGUGUGUGUGUGUGUGUGUGUGUGUGUGUGUGUGUGUGUGUGUGUGUGUGUGUGUGUGUGUGUGUGUGUGUGUGUAAUGUAGGCCUACAGAAGAGGAGUUGGUAUUGUAAGACUGAAAAGUUACCGGAGUUUUAGAAUAGGCUCAUGCAUGAAAGACACGAGAUUCAUUUUUAUUUAAUUUCCUUGAAAUAAGAGACAAUUCAGCUGUUUUGCCUCCUGAUUAUUGAUUAUUUGGUGUUGCAACAUUUUAAAUAGAAACUUAGCUCAUACUAAAUUGCGUAACAAUUCGGUCACAUCUCUUAUAAUAACUUAUGACCCAUUAAAAAAGCUUUUGAUUACUCUUAAUCCAAGAAUAAAUUAAGAAAUAAAAUAGAAUGAAGGCCUUUGCCUACAUUCUAUUUUUUUGCCUAGAGUAUAGGCAGGCCUAUUCUAGUUGACUUCUACUGGCAUCUAUAUCUAUAAUGAAAUUGUGCUUGGAAUAAUUAGCAUUGUUCCUAACCUUUGUGUCGUGUUCGUUUCUCCCCAGUACUUUGGUGCUCCUGGUCAAAUUUGACCGGCCUGUUUUAACUGCUCUUACAUUAACACAUAAAACAUUGAUCAUUGCCAAAUUUUAUUUAACUCCUUUUUAACCUGUAAAAUAUUUCUCAGACUACUGGUUUGAAUGAAUAACUGCAGGGGAUAUACAAGGAAUAAACACAGAAAUUGUGUGUACGUGUGGUGGUGGUGGUGGAUUUGUGGUUGUACUAUCUGAUGGAUGAACGCAAUCUAGGGUCACCCAUUAAUUUCUUAUGGCGGUCAUUUUUGACCGGGAACACCACAGGUGUAACAAAGUUGACUAAACCACUCAAAAUUCAAUGAAAGCUGUGAUCAGCAAUUGUAUAUGUUAAAAUGCCUAGUGUGAAGGAUAUCAUAAGGCCAUGAGACAAUAAAAUGUAAAACACCCAAUUUAUGAUUGAUGAAAGUAAGAAAUCGGUCAGAUUUGACCAGAACACGACAGGAAGGUUAGCCUGUCCUAUAUUUCCUAACGUGUGUGUGUGUGUGUGUGUGUGUGUGUGUGUGUGUGUGUGUGUGUGUGUGUGUGUGUGUGUGUGUGUGUGUGUGUGUGUGUGUGUGUGUGUGUGUGUGUGUGUGUGUGUGUGUGUGUGUGUGAGUGAGUGAGUGAGUGAGUGAGUGAGUGAGUGAGUGAGUGAGUUUAUGCAUCAGCCUGUGAGAAAACUGACUCAUCCAAUGCAAACUAAUAACUCAUGUAGCCAACUGCAUCACUACAAACUCAUACAUGUCAUACACAUAUCACAAUUAAAAACGUCCUAGAAAAAACACAACAGCCACCCCUGGUCCAAACGUUACACGAAUCCUAACAAGUUGAACAUUAUUCGCAGUUUGCUGCAGCCACUCGAGGAGUCCGAUUCGCCGAGCAGAGCCAGGCGGCCCGUGGUGAUAUUAGGGACAGCCUACGUAACGGGAUAAAAACAGAUGAAAAGCUUCCGCCGUUCGUAAUAAUCCUGUCCUCAAACGACAGCGGGGGGAAACGAACCCGGCGUACCGAGCGAACCCUGCUAUACCCUGAUGCCGCCGCGUUCACUUUCGCACACUGGGAUCGGCGACGGAGGCGUCGCCUGCCGCGUUCGAUUUCGCGUUCACCGGCGUGCUGACGAGCGUACCCUGGGAAACGGCGUACCUCAGCAAGACGCCGGUCAACGCGAAAGUGAACGCGGCAGCGGCAGCGGCGUGCGGCGCGCAACGGUGCACCCGGUGAACCGCGCAAGGACUUCCUCGUUUAAAGGAACCCGGGCGCCCUCGAACAACUGCGACACAAAACCCCGCCGAAGCGUUCAAGUUUCGACCCGUUUCAUCGUUCCAGUGCCUUGGGGACAAGUUCACGGACUUUCUCUACUCCGGGCGAGGAAACGACAACAACAGGGACAUCGAGGCAACGGUGACGAACGGAGGCAGCACGUAGAAUCUCACCACCACCACCACCACCGCUGCCUCCCCCACCACCACCACCACCACCACCGCUGCCUCCUCCACCACCACCACCUCCACCACCACCACCACCACCACCUCCACCGCGGGUGCUGGUGCUGCUGCUGCUGUCAAACGUCUCUUAUCCAAGUGUGAGGCUGGGCUGCUGCUCCUGUGGGGGAACGUGGGUCCGAGGAUCCGCGUGGAGGAACGUCGUCGGGUUUCGCCGUUCGCGCCGUCUUCGCCGGGGACUUCUGGUAAGCGUUAUGCUUCUUUAUUGUCGUGUGAAUGAAGUCACGUGUGCUCGAGGUGGACGCGUGUGUGUGUGUGUUUGUUUGUUUGUUUCUUCCGCCGAUUCCGUGUCGGAUACGUCGAGCGCGAUUUGAAAAAGCGGCUGGUGAGAAUUACUCGUCAUCCGCAAAGUUCGGUCACUGCCGAAUUUUUUAGAAGCCUCCGACACAAAAGGGCCCUGAGCCGCAUGAAAAAAAUCAUUAGACACUUUUCCUUCAUCUCUGAGAAUGCGUGACCAUGACCUAACUACCCACCGCAACUCCCAACAGGACUCUUUUUGUGAUUUUGUGUUUGAAAAACGUUGUUUACUCCAAAGCCAUUAAUGGUACUUUGAUUGGCGCAGGGAUAAUGUGACUCUGUGGUCUGCAGUGGCAGAGUGUGGAUCCGCCGUUGUUGAGGUUUUUCCCCUCUGAGUGAUGUGGCUUGGGCUUGAACCGGAGCAGAAAUCCUAUGUUGCGCCAUGCUGCAAUGCUCCCUCUCACUCACCUUUUUGGAAAACGCUGAAGGCUUUACUUUCAGAUCCCCGGUGGUUAUGGCUUGUCAAAGUAGGCGGUUGUCAUGGUUUGUUGUAUUGUUAGUUAUGUGUGUUUGAGGGUUAUUUUUUUCCGGAGGGAAUGCUUUACCAAUAAUAACGGACAGCGACUAACGUAUAAUUUUACUCGCCGACAAUUAUGUAAAUUAUGUAUGUUCGCUGGUUUUAUUUGUGUAUGUAUACUUUUAAUAAUGCGAGUUAUUAAUAAAAAAGAUAAUAUUUUUGGGGCAAAUUCGUAUAAACUAUGGGCCUUGUUUUAUUAUUCACAAAUGGAAAUUUGGGUAUGUUGUAUGUGUAAAUUGCUACAAAAAUAUUUGUAGAUCUACAUAACAACCAUUUCGCUCAUCAUCAUCAUUUAUUGGAGUGUGUGUGUGUGUGUGUGUGUGUGUGUGUGUGUGUGUGUGUGUGUGUGUGUGUGCGUGUGCGUGUGCGUGUGCGUGCGUGUAUGACUAUAUAUAAUUACAUACAACGAUACCUUAAUCACCAGACACAGUGAUCUUAACACGGAUCUUAGCCAGGAUCUCUCACCUUCAACUGGACUCCCGGUAUAUCUGGCAGCCUGUCCUUCCUCACUCAUACCCUUACAUUAGGCCAGUUGGCAGGGAGAGGCUGAAUACAAGCUGAGAGAAGGAGUUUGGUGGGCCUGGGAAGGUAGGUUAAGUUUGCAGAUAUUCUUCUGCUUUAUCUUUAUGUCUGAAUAUAUACCCGCCUAAAUUCUCUCAUGCAUACCUACUCUAAAACACUUAAACCACAGUAAUAUACGAUCGAAGGGGACAUAGGCAUAAAACAUUGACUGAGAAACACACACACACACAUACACACACACACUCACACUCACACACACACACACACACACACACAGAUGCACACGCACACGCACACACACACACACACACACACACACAGAUGCACACGCACACGCACACACACACACACACACACACACACAAACUUUCAUGCCGGAACAAGCAGAUAAUAUACAUCCUCAUGAAAACUAAAUAAAAUAAAUAAUAAAAGGGGAAUUUUUGUCUCUUAAAUUGUCAUUUGUAUCAUGCAAUUUCAGAAAUAUAAUCUUCUUUUGUUUUAGAUUAUGCAAAUUAUAAAGUUAUUGUUUCACUUUCAAAUCAUUUUUUAACAAACUAUCAAUUUAGGAGACCUUGAAAACUGCACAAGGUUUACCAGAUAAAGAAGUGUAGCCAAAUAAACUCAAAGUUUUCUGAUAAACCAGGAAUUUUCCAACUUGAACUUGAACUUGUGGGCUGACUUUGAACUUGAGCCCAACCAACUGCAAUGGAUUAGCAACAAUGUUUUAAAUUCAUGAUAAACUUUGUUUUAUGAAGUUCGGCUUAUAUGAUUACUAUCAGUAUAAUUUAUUAGAAAAAAUACUUCAAUCAUUUUAGAAAGAUAUUGAUAAAGGAUAUUGUCUUUUUGGUUAAUUGAGGAAUUUCUCCGAUAAUUUCCUGGCAUGUAGGUUAAUAAAAUAUAAUUGUACAUUUGUCAUUUGGUUUUAAAUUAUUUACAUUUAAUAUUAUUUUUGAUGUUUUUUUUACCAAAGUAAAAGUUGGAUUUAAUUGAUUUUCUUUUGUUAAAAAAUCCAGGAAUAUAUUUUAUAUUUUAUUUUAUUUGACUAUACAGACUUAACUAGUUAAACAUUUUUGAAAGAAAUGUAUGUAGGAUAUUUAUAUGUAAUAGUGUGUGCUUGUGUGUGUGUCUGUCUGUAUAGAUGUGUGUGUGUGUUUGUGUGUGUGUGUGUGUGUGUGUGUGUGUGUGUGUGUGUGUGUGUGUGUGUGUGUGUGUGUGUGUGUGUGUGUGUGUGUGUGUGUGUGUGUGUGUGUGUGUGUGUGUGCCAUUUUAGUUCUAAAAUAGCUGUAUUAUUGCUGUAUUUUGAUUAUAUCUCACAGGUGGUUAAACUGAAUUAUAGUAUUUAUAUGUGUGUGUAUAUUCCAUGUUAUACAAUUUAUCAUAUGUAUAUAUGCUAGAUGCAGUUGAGCUAUUUGCCUUGCAAGAGUGUGUCCAGACAAUUAUUUGUUUCCUAGAAUAAAUAUAAAUCCAAGAGAUUUGAGAGAAAAGCAUGGGGUCAA
Gadus morhua (Atlantic cod) is the source of this 5319-nucleotide RNA transcript. It is a transcript of the gene named homeobox protein ARX-like, with no coding region annotated. NCBI's taxonomy places the organism in Eukaryota, Metazoa, Chordata, Actinopteri, Gadiformes, Gadidae. The record is from RefSeq and is a predicted model, not a curated record. The transcript has 4 exons.